AUUCCAGCUCCAAUAGCGUAUAUUAAAGUUGUUGCAGUUAAAAAGCUCGUAGUUGGAUUUCUGGUAGAAGUAGCGACCUUGGGUCUUUGACCUAUGAAGUUGCUAUCUUCAACCAUCCUUGAAGAGAUUUAGUUUGGCAUUAAGUUGUCGAACUAAAGAUAUUCAUCUUUUACUGUGAAAAAAUCAGGACGUUCAAAGUAAGCAUUUAGCUUUGAAUGUAUUAGCAUGGAAUAAUGAAAUAGGACUUAGGUACUACUUUGUUGGUUUAUGCACCUAGGUAAUGAUUAAUAGGGAUAGUUGGGGGUAUUCGUAUUCCAAUGUUAGAGGUGAAAUUCUUGGAUUUUUGGAAGACGAACAACUGCGAAAGCAUUUACCAAGGAUGUUUUCAUUG
Molecule: ribosomal RNA, 391 nt
Filed under: Actinocyclus sp. (in: diatoms)
Lineage: Eukaryota; Bacillariophyta; Coscinodiscophyceae; Coscinodiscales; Hemidiscaceae
Description: Actinocyclus sp. (in: Bacillariophyta) partial small subunit ribosomal RNA
Rfam family: Eukaryotic small subunit ribosomal RNA
Source: RNAcentral